This 492-nucleotide ribosomal RNA is filed under the name uncultured bacterium. Its description in RNAcentral is "partial 16S ribosomal RNA". It matches the Rfam family "Bacterial small subunit ribosomal RNA", at positions 29 to 507 of the family's 1533-position model. The record is from RNAcentral.
AGUGAACGCUGGCGGUAUGCCUAACACAUGCAAGUCGAGCGACAGCACAGUAAGAUCUUUCUCUUACCGUUGGCGAGUGACGGACGGGUGAGACAUACAUCGCCUUCUACUUUUUCUUGGGGGAUUACGUGAGGCAACUUACGCUAAUACCUCAUACGACCUACGGGUUGAAUCAAGAGUUCUUCACACCUUUCCCGUUUCAUUUAGACGAUGUCGGAUUAGCUAGUUGGCUGGGUAAAGGCCCACCAAGGCAACGAUGCGUAGCUGGUCUGAGAGGAUGAUCGGCCACACUGGAACUGAGACACGGUCCAGACUCCUACGGGAGGCAGCAGUAGGGAAUAUUGCGCAAUGGGCGCAAGCCUGAUCGAGCCAUACCGCGUGAGUGAAGAAGGCCUUCGGGUUGUAAAGCUCUGUUGUUGGGAAAGAAAAGAAGUAGAAGAAUAUCCGGAUGUUUUGACGGUACCCAAAGAGAAAGCAACGGCUAACUUCGUG